Molecule: ribosomal RNA, 517 nt
Filed under: uncultured soil bacterium
Lineage: Bacteria
Description: bacterial SSU rRNA
Rfam family: Bacterial small subunit ribosomal RNA
Source: RNAcentral
AGAGUUUGAUCCUGGCUCAGAUUGAACGCUGGCGGCAUGCCUUACACAUGCAAGUCGAACGGUAGAGGGGCAACCCUUGAGAGUGGCGAACGGGUGAGUAAUAUAUCGGAACGUGCCCAGUCGUGGGGGAUAACGCAGCGAAAGCUGCGCUAAUACCGCAUACGAUCUAUGGAUGAAAGCGGGGGACCGUAAGGCCUCGCGCGAUUGGAGCGGCCGAUGUCAGAUUAGGUAGUUGGUGGGGUAAAGGCUCACCAAGCCAACGAUCUGUAGCUGGUCUGAGAGGACGACCAGCCACACUGGAACUGAGACACGGUCCAGACUCCUACGGGAGGCAGCAGUGGGGAAUUUUGGACAAUGGGCGCAAGCCUGAUCCAGCAAUGCCGCGUGCAGGAAGAAGGCCUUCGGGUUGUAAACUGCUUUUGUACGGAACGAAACGGCGAGCUCUAAUACAGUUUGCUAAUGACGGUACCGUAAGAAUAAGCACCGGCUAACUACGUGCCAGCCGCCGCGGUAAUAC